GAUGAACGCUGGCGGCGUGCCUCAAACAUGCAAGUCGAGCGGGGCUAUGUAAUAUCGCAAGGUAGAACAUAGCCUAGCGGCGAACGGGUGAGUAACACGUGGGUAACCUGCCUGGAAGACAGGGAUAACGAUUCGAAAGGGUCGCUAAUACCUGAUAAUAUCCUUUCAUCGCAUGGUGAUAGGAAGAAAGGGGAAACCCGCUUUCAGAUGGGCCCGCGUCCCAUCAGCUAGUUGGUAAGGUAAAGGCUUACCAAGGCGACGACGGGUAGCCGGUCUGAGAGGAUGUACGGCCACACUGGGACUGAGAUACGGCCCAGACUCCUACGGGAGGCAGCAGUUGGGAAUCUUAGGCAAUGGACGAAAGUCUGACCUAGCGACGCCGCGUGAGGGAAGAAGGCCUUCGGGUUGUAAACCUCUGUCAUGGGGAAGAAGGAAGUGACGGUACCCCAAGAGGAAGCCCCUGCUAACUACGUG
Molecule: ribosomal RNA, 474 nt
Filed under: uncultured bacterium
Lineage: Bacteria
Description: bacterial SSU rRNA
Rfam family: Bacterial small subunit ribosomal RNA
Source: RNAcentral